Molecule: non-coding RNA, 150 nt
Filed under: Paraburkholderia steynii
Lineage: Bacteria; Pseudomonadati; Pseudomonadota; Betaproteobacteria; Burkholderiales; Burkholderiaceae
Source: RNAcentral
CCUGCUGUACGACCAGCAGUUGCCUAUUCAGACAUGCGUGACCGGUAACAGUCAGGUGUGAAGCUCUGAAGACAACGUGCCUCUCGACUGACGGCUCACCCCGGCGACGGGGAAGGAACCGGCACUGCCAGCCGCCGCGCGGUGUGAGGU